AAAUUGAAGAGUUUGAUCAUGGCUCAGAUUGAACGCUGGCGGCAGGCCUAACACAUGCAAGUCGAACGGUAACAGGAAGCAGCUUGCUGCUUUGCUGACGAGUGGCGGACGGGUGAGUAAUGUCUGGGAAACUGCCUGAUGGAGAGGGAUAACUACUGGAAACGGUAGCUAAUACCGCAUAACGUCGCAAGACCAAAGAGGGGGACCUUCGGGCCUCUUGCCAUCGGAUGUGCCCAGAUGGGAUUAGCUAGUAGGUGGGGUAAAGGCUCACCUAGGCGACGAUCCCUAGCUGGUCUGAGAGGAUGACCAGCCACACUGGAACUGAGACACGGUCCAGACUCCUACGGGAGGCAGCAGUGGGGAAUAUUGCACAAUGGGCGCAAGCCUGAUGCAGCCAUGCCGCGUGUAUGAAGAAGGCCUUCGGGUUGUAAAGUACUUUCAGCGGGGAGGAAGGGAGUAAAGUUAAUACCUUUGCUCAUUGACGUUACCCGCAGAAGAAGCACCGGCUAACUCCGUGCCAGCAGCCGCGGUAAUACGGAGGGUGCAAGCGUUAAUCGGAAUUACUGGGCGUAAAGCGCACGCAGGCGGUUUGUUAAGUCAGAUGUGAAAUCCCCGGGCUCAACCUGGGAACUGCAUCUGAUACUGGCAAGCUUGAGUCUCGUAGAGGGGGGUAGAAUUCCAGGUGUAGCGGUGAAAUGCGUAGAGAUCUGGAGGAAUACCGGUGGCGAAGGCGGCCCCCUGGACGAAGACUGACGCUCAGGUGCGAAAGCGUGGGGAGCAAACAGGAUUAGAUACCCUGGUAGUCCACGCCGUAAACGAUGUCGACUUGGAGGUUGUGCCCUUGAGGCGUGGCUUCCGGAGCUAACGCGUUAAGUCGACCGCCUGGGGAGUACGGCCGCAAGGUUAAAACUCAAAUGAAUUGACGGGGGCCCGCACAAGCGGUGGAGCAUGUGGUUUAAUUCGAUGCAACGCGAAGAACCUUACCUGGUCUUGACAUCCACGGAAGUUUUCAGAGAUGAGAAUGUGCCUUCGGGAACCGUGAGACAGGUGCUGCAUGGCUGUCGUCAGCUCGUGUUGUGAAAUGUUGGGUUAAGUCCCGCAACGAGCGCAACCCUUAUCCUUUGUUGCCAGCGGUCCGGCCGGGAACUCAAAGGAGACUGCCAGUGAUAAACUGGAGGAAGGUGGGGAUGACGUCAAGUCAUCAUGGCCCUUACGACCAGGGCUACACACGUGCUACAAUGGCGCAUACAAAGAGAAGCGACCUCGCGAGAGCAAGCGGACCUCAUAAAGUGCGUCGUAGUCCGGAUUGGAGUCUGCAACUCGACUCCAUGAAGUCGGAAUCGCUAGUAAUCGUGGAUCAGAAUGCCACGGUGAAUACGUUCCCGGGCCUUGUACACACCGCCCGUCACACCAUGGGAGUGGGUUGCAAAAGAAGUAGGUAGCUUAACCUUCGGGAGGGCGCUUACCACUUUGUGAUUCAUGACUGGGGUGAAGUCGUAACAAGGUAACCGUAGGGGAACCUGCGGUUGGAUCACCUCCUUACCUUAAAGAAGC
This 1554-nucleotide ribosomal RNA is filed under the name Escherichia coli. RNAcentral's name for it is "bacterial SSU rRNA". It matches the Rfam family "Bacterial small subunit ribosomal RNA". The record is from RNAcentral. Lineage: Bacteria; Pseudomonadati; Pseudomonadota; Gammaproteobacteria; Enterobacterales; Enterobacteriaceae.